Molecule: transfer RNA, 72 nt
Filed under: Tetracentron sinense
Lineage: Eukaryota; Viridiplantae; Streptophyta; Magnoliopsida; Trochodendrales; Trochodendraceae
Description: tRNA-Met
Rfam family: tRNA
About the family: Transfer RNA (tRNA) molecules are approximately 80 nucleotides in length. Their secondary structure includes four short double-helical elements and three loops (D, anti-codon, and T loops).
Source: RNAcentral
GGGGUGGUGGCGCAGUUGGCUAGCGCGUAGGUCUCAUAAUCCUGAGGUCGAGAGUUCGAGCCUCUCACCCCA